CCGUUGUACACACCGCCCGUCACACCACGAAAGUUGGUUGGACCCGAAGUCGCUGACUCAACCGCAAGGGAGAGGUGCCUACGGUCUGGUCGAUGAUUGGGGUG
This 104-nucleotide ribosomal RNA is filed under the name uncultured bacterium. RNAcentral's name for it is "partial 16S ribosomal RNA". It matches the Rfam family "Bacterial small subunit ribosomal RNA", at positions 1378 to 1482 of the family's 1533-position model. The record is from RNAcentral.